GUCUAUGGCCAUACCACCCUGAGCAUGCCCAGUCGCAUGUGAUCUCGGAAGCUAAGCAGGGUUGGGCCUAGGUAGUGCUUAGAUGGGAGAGAGAGCUUGAGAGAGAAGGGAGAGAUAGAGA
Ribosomal RNA from Erinaceus europaeus (western European hedgehog), 121 nucleotides. The record is from Ensembl. Lineage: Eukaryota; Metazoa; Chordata; Mammalia; Eulipotyphla; Erinaceidae.